Molecule: ribosomal RNA, 459 nt
Filed under: uncultured bacterium
Lineage: Bacteria
Description: partial 16S ribosomal RNA
Rfam family: Bacterial small subunit ribosomal RNA
Source: RNAcentral
CCUACGGGAGGCAGCAGUGAGGAAUAUUGGUCAAUGGUCGGGAGACUGAACCAGCCAAGCCGCGUGAGGGAUGAAGGUACAGAGUAUCGUCAACCUCUUUUGUCAGGGAACAAAGGCGGGGACGCGUCCCCGGAUGAGUGUACCUGAAGAAAAAGCAUCGGCCAACUCCGUGCCAGCAGCCGCGGUAAUACGGAGGAUGCGAUCGUUAUCCGGAUUGAUUGGGUUUAAGGGGGGCGCAGGCGGUCUGUUAAGUCAGCGGUCAAAGCCCGGGGCUCAACCCCGGCCCGCCGUUGAAACUGGCAGUCUCGAGUUGGAGAGAAGUAUGCGGAAUGCGCGGUGUAGCGGUGAAAUGCAUAGAUAUCGCGCAGAACUCCGAUUGCGAAGGCAGCAUGCCGGCUCCACACUGACGCUGAGGCACGAAAGCGUGGGUAUCGAACAGGAUUAGAUACCUUGGUAGUC